RNAcentral lists this long non-coding RNA (492 nucleotides) under Linum usitatissimum (flax). RNAcentral describes it as "long non-coding RNA (LUSI_LNC006425)". Lineage: Eukaryota; Viridiplantae; Streptophyta; Magnoliopsida; Malpighiales; Linaceae. The record is from RNAcentral.
AACGACUCAGUCUACUCUAAUAUGAGACUAAGUUACUACUCACAACAACAUUACGCAAGGAUCUAAUUCUACCAAGAGCUUCAAGCUAGAUCGUCUAUCCCUUAUGCAAAAACUACUACUUCGAGCUUUUGCGCUCAUUUAUUCAACUAUCUCGAGACAAGGUUUUUUUCGUUUGUCUGCUUCCUUUUUUUAUUUUUGAGAUUUUCAAUUUUUUUUUCUCUUUUUCUCAUUUUUUUAAGAUUCUACAUAUACAUCAAAUUGUUACAAGGGAGACUAUAUAAUCCCGUAUUAAAUUCAAAACUUAGUAACUUUUAUUUCUCGACUCGACCGAGUUACAUGUCACUAAUGUACACAUGAUCAAAUGAAAGGUUGAAAGAAAGGGGAUAUGAUAUUAUGGAGGUUAUGAACAAAGGGUUUUUGGCUAUGAUUGGGUUACCUAUGGGAAAAUAUAAGGACUGGAUGGAUAUUUUUCGCUGGGGCUUUUCUAAGUAC